UUUAAUGCAAUUUUUGUUUCGUUGAAUGCGAACAUAGAAAUGCUGUGGAUAAUAGAGCAUCUAUUAAGUGCAAAAAUAAUAUAUACAACUAUUAAGAGUGUUCACAACCAUAAACAUCUUAAGAGUGUUCUGUUACCCUGUACAACUGUUCUAUUAUGCCAUAAAAGUAUUCUAAAUGAUAAAACACUGUUCACAACCAUAAACCUAUUUAGAGCGUUCUAUUACCCUUUACCACUGUUCUAUUAUGACAUCAAAGUAUUCUAAAUUCUAAAAUAGUGUUCACAACCAUAAACCUAUUAAGAGUGUUCUAUUAACCUUUACAACUGUUCUAUUAUAACAUCAAAGUGUUCAUAAUCCUGCCAGCUGAUAAGAGUGUUCUAUUAUGCCGUAGGAAUGUUAUAUUAUGCCAUAAGAGGGUACGAUUGCAAUUCAUAAAUGCUCGAAAGUAUAAAAAAGUAACAUUCUAAACCCUAAACCCUAAUAGAACAUUCCUAUCACAUGGAUUGUGAACAAUUCUAUCAGCUGGCCUAAUAGAACAUUCUAAACCACAAGCUUGCAUAAUAGAGUUCAUAAUGAAUGGAUUAUGAACACUACUAUCAACUGGCAUAAUAGAACAUUCUAAACCCUAAACCCUAAUCCUAAUCAUAAAUUAUUUAUUUUUAAAAAUACAACAUCAAAUAUAAUAUACCAGCAAAUAUACCACCAGUGUCCUAAAAUAAAAUUAAUCAGCUACUCGGUGAUGAAAUCUGGAGCACGCAAAGACAAAAAGCAGCUGCAACCCUAAACGCUCAAAAUAUAGAUUUUAUAUUAAAUUCAAAAUAUAAAAUAAAAUAUUAUAGAACUUCAAAAAAUCUCUUGUU
Molecule: long non-coding RNA, 860 nt
Filed under: Ananas comosus (pineapple)
Lineage: Eukaryota; Viridiplantae; Streptophyta; Magnoliopsida; Poales; Bromeliaceae
Description: long non-coding RNA (ACOM_LNC035296)
Source: RNAcentral